RNAcentral lists this ribosomal RNA (563 nucleotides) under uncultured eukaryote. Its description in RNAcentral is "bacterial SSU rRNA". It matches the Rfam family "Eukaryotic small subunit ribosomal RNA", at positions 34 to 578 of the family's 1831-position model. The record is from RNAcentral.
GGCCGUUCUAGAUAGCAUGCAUGUCUAAGUAUAAAUAGUAUACAGUGAAACUGCGAAUGGCUCAUUAAAACAGUUAUAGUUUAUUUGAUAAUUGAAUUCUACAUGGAUAACCGUGGUAAAUCUAGAGCUAAUACAUGCUGCAAAACCUGACUUUUUGGAAAGGUUGUAUUUAUUAGAUAUCAAACCAAUAUUCCUUCGGGUCUAUUGUGAUGAUUCAUAAUAACUGAUCGAAGCGCGGCUAGGCCGUGCUAAAUCAUUCAAGUUUCUGCCCUAUCAGCUUUCGAUGGUAGUGUAUUGGACUACCAUGGCUAUCACGGGUAACGGAGAAUUAGGGUUCGAUUCCGGAGAGGGAGCCUGAGAAACGGCUACCACAUCUAAGGAAGGCAGCAGGCGCGUAAAUUACCCAAUCCUGAUUCAGGGAGGUAGUGACAAGAAAUAACAACUCGGGGGCUCACGCCUUACGAGAUUGCAAUGGGUACAAUUUAAACCGCUUAACGAGGAACAAUUGGAGGGCAAGUCUGGUCCCCCCGUGCCCCCGCCCCGCCCGGGGCGCGCCCCGGGCG